GAUGAACGCUGGCGGCGUGCCUAAUACAUGCAAGUCGAGCGAACGGACGAGAAGCUUGCUUCUCUGAUGUUAGCGGCGGACGGGUGAGUAACACGUGGAUAACCUACCUAUAAGACUGGGAUAACUUCGGGAAACCGGAGCUAAUACCGGAUGAUAUUUUGAACCGCAUGGUUCAAAAGUGAAAGACGGUCUUGCUGUCACUUAUAGAUGGAUCCGCGCUGCAUUAGCUAGUUGGUAAGGUAACGGCUUACCAAGGCAACGAUGCAUAGCCGACCUGAGAGGGUGGUCGGCCACACUGGAACUGAGACACGGUCCAGACUCCUACGGGAGGCAGCAGUAGGGAAUCUUCCGCAAUGGGCGAAAGCCUGACGGAGCAACGCCGCGUGAGUGAUGAAGGUCUUCGGAUCGUAAAACUCUGUUAUGAGGGAAGAACAUAUGUGUAAGUAACUGUGCACAUCUUGACGGUACCUAAUCAGAAAGCCACGGCUAACUACGUG
This 497-nucleotide ribosomal RNA is filed under the name uncultured bacterium. RNAcentral's name for it is "partial 16S ribosomal RNA". It matches the Rfam family "Bacterial small subunit ribosomal RNA", at positions 28 to 507 of the family's 1533-position model. The record is from RNAcentral.